AACCCGUGCGACGCACGGGUCAUAUUCCCCGUAAAAUUUGGGAUGUAGUAUAUCAUAGAAAAAAGUUGAUGUUAAAAAGAUAGUAUAUAUAAAAUUUCGUAUCCCCGUGAGCUUAGCUCAGUUGGUAGGGAUAUUGCAUAUUAUAUGCAGGAGCCGGGGUUCGAACCCCGGACACUCCACUUCUCCACAAUUAAAUUGUGUGAG
This 204-nucleotide long non-coding RNA is filed under the name Medicago truncatula (barrel medic). RNAcentral's name for it is "long non-coding RNA (MTRU_LNC002374)". Lineage: Eukaryota; Viridiplantae; Streptophyta; Magnoliopsida; Fabales; Fabaceae. The record is from RNAcentral.